This is a long non-coding RNA of Triplophysa dalaica, 797 nucleotides long. RefSeq lists it as uncharacterized. Lineage: Eukaryota; Metazoa; Chordata; Actinopteri; Cypriniformes; Nemacheilidae. The record is from RefSeq and is a predicted model, not a curated record. The transcript has 2 exons.
UUCAUGUGGUUCGUUUUCAUUAGUCUUGACCUUAGAGGUCACUGCUGAUGGCCAAUACAGGAGGUGCUUUUGUUGAAGAACAAAUCACUACAUUUGCCAUCAUUACACUACAUUUGUCUUUAUACCUGUGUCGGUGAAAUAAUUAGUGACUUCAAUUUUGCAAGUUUAUUUAUCAUCGCAGUUCAUUUUAUGAGAAGGUGUUAAAAAUGAUUCUGCUUUGUUUUUCUUGUUACAGGCAGCUAUGUAGCAUUCAAGCACUUUUCCAGAAUCUUUUUUUAUUCUGAUCACAUUCCCAGAGGGGGGCAAAUCAUCACAAUUUACAACCAUGAAAUGUUACCGCAGGUUGCAGUUCAUGCCCAGACCUGAUGGCAGAGCUGAGAAUGGGAAGCGGUGACCUGACAAGUGCUAAGAGGAUAGAGCUGGAUAAAGGACGCGACAACUUUGUUUUUUUCUACAACAUUUCAAAUGCUAUUAGAUUGUUAAUGAUAAUCUUUAAUUUUUAUAUUUUUAUUAAGCCUUGUUGUGCAAGCACUGAUGAGCUUGUGCAGAGGCAGCAGCUUUUGCCAGAGGGGAACUGGAAUCCCCUGGUUGGGCCUGGGUUCCCCUGAGGUUUUUUUUCUCGAUGGGAGUUUUGGGUUCCUCACCACCGUUUGCAUAUUGUUUUGCACUAUCUGCCUGGCCGGGGGGGCUGCUUUAGAAUUCAUACUUGUAUUCAAUGUGUCUCAUGUACAGCUGCUUUGUAACAAUGAAAAUUGUAAAAAGCGCUAUAUAAAUAAAGUUGAGUUGAGUUGAGUUGA